RNAcentral lists this long non-coding RNA (3178 nucleotides) under Homo sapiens (human). RNAcentral describes it as "HSALNT0272335". The record is from RNAcentral. Lineage: Eukaryota; Metazoa; Chordata; Mammalia; Primates; Hominidae.
UUGUAAGUGUUUGACAGCUCCUCCUUCACACUCUCUCUCUCUCUCCUGCCACCUUGUGAUGAAGGUACCCGCUUCCCCUGCCACUGUGAUUGUUAAGUUUCCUGAGGCCUCCCAAGCCAUGCAGAACUAUUACUUCUUUAAGCUUCAUUCAUCUCAUCUAUUAAAUGGGUCAAGAAAGACCUAUCUUGGAGUAUGGCUCAUACAAUGACAAAGGUACUAGUUGCUCAAUACGGAGAGGGACUGGAUCUCUGACGAUAGCAUGGAGAAUGACUUGGAGAGAAGACAAUAAAGUCAAGUUAGAAGAUACUGUGAGGUUCUAAGUAAACUCUGUUAGCAGCAAUAACAAUAACAUGUAAGCAAUGGAUAUGAGAAGCUGGAAAGACACAAAGAACAAAGCGGACUUUCUUGCCAAUAUGAAACAUUUCUAAAAUCACAAAAGAAAGCAUCAGAAGAUAUUGAAUAGUUCAUUUACUUUAACAAAAGUACAAAAUCAUCCUUGUUUUUAUUCCUGGGUCCAGUCUGUCGUUUGAUGCCAUUAUCUUGUCCAAUAUUUUCAUACUUAGAGCUGCCCCAGGCAAAAUCGACCUUGUUUGCUAAUGGAAGUCAUUAAACAUUUUGAAUCAUGGAGUGAUGUGGUUGUACCUGUUCUUGGAGGACAUGUGUCAUGACAUGUCAAGGGCAGAUAGCCAAAAAAGGCAGCACUGCACCAUGAGUCUUACAUGACAGCCAUGAUGGUGAGAAUAUAAAGGGUGUAAUUGGGUACAUAAUCCAAAGGUGGUUUGGUAAAUGAUUGAAUAUAUCAUAUAAAUAUUUAAGAAAAAAAAUUGAUUCCAGGAGUGUGCUGAGGCUGGUCUACGUGAGCUCCCAAGGUCAAAUUUUGUGCAUCUCUCCCCAGAUUCCUGUCCAGUGAUAUCAAAUUGUUUCUUAAAUUAGCUAUAGUGUCAAUAAGCACAACACUAAAAUGUCCAACACUGCAAAGUAGAACUUUUCUGGGGAGCGGGAGGAGUGCAGUUUUUAAAAAAUUUACCAGCACAGCACUAAAUGAUUCUUAUAGGUAAAAUCUAAACAGCUAGGAAGAUGGUAGUUCUGUGAACUGAGAAAGGUACGUUGAGAGAAAUAAAAUUUGAAUUGAGAAAGGUAAAUGAGGCCGGGUGUGGUGGUUCAAGCCUGUAAUCCCAGCACUUUAGGAGGCCGAGGCGGGUGGAUCACCUGAGGUCAGGAGUUCGAGACUAGCCUGACCAACAUGAUGAAGCCCUUGUCUCUACUAAAAAUACAACAAAUUAGCCAGGCAUGGUGGCGGGCACCUGUAAUCCCAGCUACUCGGGAGGCUGAGGCAGGAGAAUUGCUUGAACCUGGGAGGCGGAGGUUGCAGUGAGCCAAGAUGGCACUACUGCACUCUACCCUGGGCAAUAAGAGUGAAAGUUCAUCUCAGAAAAAAAAAAAAAGAAAAAGAGAAAGCUAAAUGAGGUAAAAGAAGGAUGGCCUUCUGGUGGAGAUAGAGUAAAACAAGAUGUUUGCUUGAGGGCUUCCUGGGUUUAAAGUUUCAGUGUUUUGCACUGUAUUUGGUCCUUGGUUCUGUAUUCCACUGAUAUUUGUUGAAUGACUAACUUGUGUUUUCCCAAUAAGGAAAUCUAGUAGAAGGCUGGAAAUUGACAUUGGAAGUUAAGACUACACAUGCAACUAGACACACACACACACACACACACACACACACAAUGGACUAUAGAACCAUCUAUAUGGGAUAGUUAUUGAAGUCCUAGUAAGAAAGGAUACUACUAAGAGAACCUGUGUGGUGUCAUAAAUAUCAAAAUAAAGAACAGGAUUUUGAGCAAUUUAUGAGUAAAGGCAUUUGAGAAGAUAAAAUGGCACAGUCAGAAAGCUGGGGGCCAGUGUUUGAGAAUGGGAAGGUGGGAGCUGGUAUAAAAACACGUCGGUCAGGCCGGGCAUGAUGGCUCACGCCUGUAAUCCCAGCACUUUGGGAGACCGAGGCGGGCAGAUCACGAGGUCAGGAGAUCGAGACCAUCCUGGCUAACACGGUGAAACCCUGUCUCUACUAAAAAUACCAAAAAAUUAGCCAGCUGUGGUGGUGGGCACUUGUGGUCCCAGAUACUCGGGAGGCUGAGGCAGGAGAAUGGCAUGAACCUGGGAGGCAGAGCUUGCAGUGAGCCGAGAUCGUGCCACUGCACUCUGGCCUGGGCAACAGAGCGAGACUCAGUCUCAAAAAAAAAAAAAAAAAAAAAAGGCCGAGCGCGGUGGCUCACGCCUGUAAUCCCAGCACUUUGGGAGGCCGAGGCGGGUGGAUCACGAGGUCAGGAGAUCGAGACCAUCCUGGCUAGAAUGGUGAAACCCCAUCUCUACUAAAAGUACAAAAAAUUAGGUGGGCGUGGUGGCGGGUGCCUGUAGUCCCAGCUACUCGGGAGGCUGAGGCGGAGCUUGCAGUGAGUCAAGAUCGCGCCACUGCACUCCAGCCUGGGCGACAGAGCGAGACUCUCUGUCAAAAACAACAACAACAACAAAAAAACAUGUCCGUCAGGCAAGUAUGAAACCUGAAAAUCUGUCAAAAUCUGGUUAGUAAUCUGGGAGAUGCAAUGACAGUCAGGAGGUUGGGGCAGAAUUUACGUUUCAAGUUUCUCACAAUGUAGUCAUUAUUAUAAGAAUCACCUGGAGGACUUGUUAACAACACAUGCUCUGAGGCUCCCUGAUCGGAGAUACUGAUCAAGUAGCUGGGCUCACGACGGAAGUCUGAAGCCAGUGAUUUCAAAAACACUGUGAAAGGUAUUGAGGAAUAAACACACAAGAUGGGAUAUGCAAGGGCAAGAUUAAGAGCAUAAGUUCUUUUUCUUUCAUUGUAACACAGACUGGAGAAGAGAAAAGCAUUAAAAUUUUGAUAGGAAGUGGGAUAACGAAGUAUAUUUUCAGGUUAAGAGUGAAUUGAGUAUGUUGAUAAAAAGAUGUUAAAAAUCAGGGGGAAAAGCAUUAUGCGCAAGAAAAAGAGAAAAAAUACGUAGAGUGGGACCAUGAAGAAGGGAGAAAUGAUUACUUACUUUUAGAGAUGGUCAGGAGAGAAAAGGUGUUGGCAUUUAAAAUAGGCAAAUUUGUUUAAGGGAACACAUGUCAAUUGAUGUCACUUAAAUUGAUAAAAGCAAUACUUAUUUAAUAUUUAUUUUUUAAAACAAAA